GGGGAUGAAAGGAUUUCGACGGGGAAUCCAAGCCCGGAUAAGCGAGUAGCGGGGCGGGACCGCUAUAAAAUCCGCAACCUUAAAAUUAACUGACAACAAUCUUGUUGCUCGCGCUGCUUAAGUAGCAGCCGUCUCUGCGCGGAGGACUGCGGCCGCGCAAGAGGCGUCGAUCAGCAGUGAACGUGCACCGGCCGCGGCAGAGAACCGGUCAUGAACAAUCUGUCUACCGCAAGCGUCAGCCUGUUCGUCGGCGGGCGUGCGGGGGAAUCUUAAACGACGGACUACACUCGUAGAAAGUCCCUGUGCGGGUUUUUCGGACGCGGUUUCGAUUACCGCCAUCUCCACCA
This 347-nucleotide transfer-messenger RNA is filed under the name bovine gut metagenome. It matches the Rfam family "transfer-messenger RNA". Rfam says of the family: Bacterial tmRNA, also known as 10Sa RNA or SsrA, is named for its dual tRNA and mRNA-like properties. Its role is to liberate the mRNA from a stalled ribosome. To accomplish this part of the tmRNA is used as a reading frame that ends in a translation stop signal. The record is from RNAcentral.